UAAAGCUGUCAAGCUUCUGCAAAUCUAUGUGUAACAAAUUUGAUCCAGUUCAAUCGCGGAAAGAUCUGAUGCUGGUCAGAUUACCAAACCCUUGAUCACCCCAUUCACAAUAGCCGUUCGUUCAUGAUCGUGAUAUGAGACUUAGCGGGCAUCAUCUAAGGUGUUCUGGAUUAAUUAUAGGCCCUUUGAUCAGUGCAAGUACUAGGAUAGCAUCUGCAGUACCCUUGGUGAGCAGUGGAUCUGGGGACAUCUGGGGCAAUGCUCUUAGAAGACAUGACCAGGAAUGCACACCAGCCAGCAGCGUGGACACUCUUUCACCAGUGAGAUGCUUCAGCACAUGGCGUCCCUCCUCGAGAAGGAGCUCAGCCGACCGUCAGAAGAGACCUACCUCCCGCAGUUCCUCAAGGACAGCACCACCUGCAGGCCUUACUCACGUGGACA
This 441-nucleotide long non-coding RNA is filed under the name Coccomyxa subellipsoidea. Its description in RNAcentral is "long non-coding RNA (CSUB_LNC000328)". Lineage: Eukaryota; Viridiplantae; Chlorophyta; Trebouxiophyceae; Coccomyxaceae. The record is from RNAcentral.